This 2808-nucleotide unclassified non-coding RNA is filed under the name Nilaparvata lugens (brown planthopper). Its description in RNAcentral is "prolyl endopeptidase, transcript variant X2". The record is from RNAcentral. Lineage: Eukaryota; Metazoa; Arthropoda; Insecta; Hemiptera; Delphacidae.
UGGAGUUGUGACGCCUUGAUGAAAUUUCAGAUUUCCAGAUUCCACAAGCACAAAACUUGGAAAGUUGCAGACUAAAUUAGGCUACUCAGUACUCAGUUACUAAUUUAAAUUUUCUGAUUUUCUAAUUCUGUUUUAUUUUACUGUGCAAACAGUUUUUGUUAAGGAUACAUUUUUGCGGAUGAGAAGAAAGGAGCGUCUUUUAAAGCCCUUCAGAGGACAUCCUUAUUUCUGGAAUUAUUAGAUAGUAAGCAAUUGAUGAUUAUGAGAUAUAUCUCAAAGAUAUUCCACUCCAUCAGAACGCUCAAUAUUCCAAACAAGAGGUCUAUUGUUCACAAUCUCAAAAGAAGCAAUAAUAUUGUAAAUAUGAAGAUCACCUACCCUCCAGCGCGAAUCGACUCUGCUGUGGAUUCUUAUAAUGGAGUUCAGGUAACUGAUCCGUAUCGUUGGCUGGAAGAUCCAGACAGCGAGGAAACGAAGAAUUAUGUGGAUGCUCAGAAUGCCAUCACUAGGCCGUUCUUGGAGUCAUGCGAAGAGCGCACCAAGAUUAACUCUAGACUCACUGAGCUCUGGAACUAUCCGAAAUACUCUUGCCCCUACCGACAUGGCGAUAAAUAUUUCUACUACAUGAAUACUGGACUACAGAAUCAAAGUGUUUUGUACGUGCAAGACAGUUUGACCGCAGAAGCAAAGGUUUUCUUGGACCCAAACACUCUCUCUGAGGACGGGACAGUUGCAUUAACUGGCACUCAGUUCUCAGAAAAUGAGAAAAUCGUUGCUUACACUCUUAGUCAGAGUGGGUCUGAUUGGAAGACUAUUCAUUUCAAAGAUGUUGAUACGGGUAAAGAUUAUGAUGAAGUCUUGGAGAAAGUCAAGUGCUCAAGUAUGACUUGGACUCAUGAUAAUAAAGGUAUUUUCUAUGGGAGAUACCCUGAUCAAAUUGGAAAAGCUGAUGGAUCAGAGACAGACUGCAAUAAGAACCAGAAGCUUUAUUACCAUAGAAUUGGAACACCUCAGUCCGAAGAUGUGCUAGUAGUAGAAUUUCCUGAAGAACCUAAUUUCAUCAUAGGAGCUGAAGUGAGCGACUGUGGAAGGUGGCUGAUUCUGUUUCCGUGCAAGGACUGCAAGGAUCAGCUGUUGUACUUCUCAGACCUGCAUGCGAUACCCGAUGGCCAAAUUAACGGCAAACUCAAACUUGUUCAGGUUGUUCACCAGCUGGAAGCCAACUUUGAUUACAUCACCAAUGAUGGACCUCAAUUCUUAUUCAGAACCAACAAGGGCGCACCCAACUACAGAUUAGUGAAAAUUGAUUUUGAAAAUCCCGCCGAAGAAAAUUGGACGACUGCCAUUGAAGAGCAUUCGAACGAUGUACUCGACUGGGCUGCAGCUGUCAACCAAAAUCAGUUGGUGCUCUGUUACAUUCAUGAUGUCAAGAAUGUCCUUCAAUUGCACGAUCUGAGUUCCGGAAAACUUUUGAAAUCAUUUCCGUUGGAGAUGGGCUGCAUUUCUGGCUACUCAGGCAAAAGAAAAUACUCGGACAUUUUCUAUCAAUUCACCUCGUUUCUCACACCUGGAAUUAUUUACCAUUGCGAUCUCACUAAAUCGGAACUGGAGCCAAAAAUUUUCCGAGAGAUAAAAGUGCCUGGAUUUGAUUCAUCAAACUGUGAAGCGAAACAAGUAUUCUAUACCAGUAAAGAUGGCACGAGAAUACCCAUGUUCAUUGUUCAUAAGAAGGGAAUUUCUCUUGACGGGAAAAAUCCAACUCUGCUGUACGGAUAUGGAGGAUUCAAUAUUAGUGUGCAGCCUUCCUUUAGCAUCACGCGGGUUGUAUUCAUCCAGCAUUUAAAUGGCAUCUUAGCUGUAGCCAACCUCAGAGGUGGUGGAGAGUACGGACAGCGAUGGCACGACGCGGGUCGUCUGAUGAACAGACAAAACGUGUUCGAUGACUUCCAGGCGGCCGGUGAAUACCUGAUUAAGGAGAAGUACACGUCACCCGAUCACCUGGCCAUCCACGGCAGCUCCAAUGGUGGACUCCUCACAGCCGCUUGCAGCAACCAGAGGCCCGAUCUGUUUCGUGUAGCCAUCAUUCAGUGCGGUGUGUUGGACAUGCUGAGAUACCACUUGUUCACGAUCGGAUGCAUGUGGGUGUCGGACUAUGGAUGUUCGGACCAACCCAAGCAGUUUGAGAAUUUGUACAAAUUUUCACCUCUCCACAACGUCAAGGAACCGGCUGGAGAUGUUCAGGUAUUUUCAGUUGAUUAUAUAUAACUGAAUAGUAUUCCUAGAAUAGAAUCUAUAAUUUGGAAUGAGUAUCAUAGAAUAUGUAGAUAGAAAUGAAAAUAAUUGGCACAAUAUCUGGAUAGUGACUUUUGCAUUUUUUUAUUUUCAAAAAUAUGUUGCCUAUCUUGUUUAUUGCGGGAGAGGAGGAAAAUCGGAAUAAAUUAUUGAAGACAGAAUUAAAGCGAUUUCUCCUUUUACUUGUUUUAUCCAUGGAAAGAUGCUGAAGAUCCACAGAAAAAGGAGAAUUCGCUUUACCACCGCAAGAGCAUCAAAUAUUACAUAUAUCUCUCACAACUGGCAUCUCUUGAAUCAUCCGAAAAUCCCUAAACCAAUGAAGCAUCAACUCCAAGACCAGAAACAAGUCAUCAAGUAGAAGAUAAGGAGGAAGUGAACAGAUCACAACUGCUUGAAGAUUCAUUCUCAUCUGAGUAUGAAUCUGAAUCUGAGGAAGCCUUGAAUUUCGACAUUACUAACAGUGAAUCUGAUUAAAGAAUAAAGACACAAAAAAUCCACAUUAUUUACAAACGUUUC